This 542-nucleotide ribosomal RNA is filed under the name uncultured archaeon. RNAcentral's name for it is "bacterial SSU rRNA". It matches the Rfam family "Archaeal small subunit ribosomal RNA", at positions 457 to 997 of the family's 1478-position model. The record is from RNAcentral.
GCCAGCCGCCGCGGGAACACCGGCGGCCCGAGUGGUGAUCGUGAUUAUUGGGUCUAAAGGGUCCGUAGCCGGUUUGGUCAGUCCUCCGGGAAAUCUGAUAGCUCAACUAUUAGGCUUUCGGGGGAUACUGCCAGACUUGGAACCGGGAGAGGUAAGAGGUACUACAGGGGUAGGAGUGAAAUCUUGUAAUCCCUGUGGGACCACCUGUGGCGAAGGCGUCUUACCAGAACGGGUUCGACGGUGAGGGACGAAAGCUGGGGGCACGAACCGGAUUAGAUACCCGGGUAGUCCCAGCCGUAAACGAUGCUCGCUAGGUGUCAGGCAUGGCGCGACCGUGUCUGGUGCCGCAGGGAAGCCGUGAAGCGAGCCACCUGGGAAGUACGGCCGCAAGGCUGAAACUUAAAGGAAUUGGCGGGGGAGCACAACAACGGGUGGAGCCCUGCGGUUUAAUUGGACUCAACGCCGGACAACUCACCGGGGGCGACAGCAAUAUGUAGGCCAAGCUGAAGACUUUGCCUGAAUCGCUGAGGAGUGGUGCAUGG